Molecule: ribosomal RNA, 467 nt
Filed under: uncultured bacterium
Lineage: Bacteria
Description: partial 16S ribosomal RNA
Rfam family: Bacterial small subunit ribosomal RNA
Source: RNAcentral
GACGAACGCUGGCGGCGUGCUUAACACAUGCAAGUCGAACGGAAAGGCCCUGCUUUUGUGGGGUGCUCGAGUGGCGAACGGGUGAGUAACACGUGAGUAACCUGCCCUUGACUUUGGGAUAACUUCAGGAAACUGGGGCUAAUACCGGAUAGGAGCUCCUGCUGCAUGGUGGGGGUUGGAAAGUUUCGGCGGUUGGGGAUGGACUCGCGGCUUAUCAGCUUGUUGGUGGGGUAGUGGCUUACCAAGGCUUUGACGGGUAGCCGGCCUGAGAGGGUGACCGGCCACAUUGGGACUGGGAUACGGCCCAGACUCCUACGGGAGGCAGCGGGGGGGAAUAUUGCACAAUGGGCGGAAGCCUGAUGCAGCAACGCCGCGGGCGGGAUGACGGCCUUCGGGUUGAAAACCGCUUUCGCCUGUGACGAAGCGUGAGUGACGGUAAUGGGUAAAGAAGCACCGGCUAACUACGU